GCAACAGAGAGCAAACCGCCGAUGGCCCGCGCAAGCGGGAUCAGGUAAGGGUGAAAGGGUGCGGUAAGAGCGCACCGCGCGGCUGGUAACAGUCCGUGGCACGGUAAACUCCACCCGGAGCAAGGCCAAAUAGGGGUUCAUAAGGUACGGCCCGUACUGAACCCGGGUAGGCUGCUUGAGCCAGUGAGCGAUUGCUGGCCUAGAUGAAUGACUGUCCACGACAGAACCCGGCUUAUCGGUCAGUUUCACCU
RNAcentral lists this RNase P RNA (251 nucleotides) under Escherichia coli. RNAcentral describes it as "partial RNase P RNA component class A". It matches the Rfam family "Bacterial RNase P class A", at positions 111 to 367 of the family's 367-position model. From Rfam's summary of the family: Ribonuclease P (RNase P) is a ubiquitous endoribonuclease, found in archaea, bacteria and eukarya as well as chloroplasts and mitochondria. RNAcentral also lists the same sequence under 1 other name. Lineage: Bacteria; Pseudomonadati; Pseudomonadota; Gammaproteobacteria; Enterobacterales; Enterobacteriaceae. The record is from RNAcentral.